AUAACACUUAGAAAUAGGUGCUAAUACCGCAUAAGCGCACAGCUUCGCAUGAAGCAGUGUGAAAAACUCCGGUGGUAUACGAUGGAUCCGCGUCUGAUUAGCUGGUUGGCGGGGUAAAGGCCCACCAAGGCGACGAUCAGUAGCCGGCCUGAGAGGGUGAACGGCCACAUUGGGACUGAGACACGGCCCAAACUCCUACGGGAGGCAGCAGUGGGGAAUAUUGCACAAUGGGGGAAACCCUGAUGCAGCGACGCCGCGUGAGUGAAGAAGUAUUUCGGUACGUAAAGCUCUAUCAGCAGGGAAGAAAAUGACGGUACCUGACUAAGAAGCCCCGGCUAACUACGUGCCAGCAGCCGCGGUAAUACGUAGGGGGCAAGCGUUAUCCGGAUUUACUGGGUGUAAAGGGAGCGUAGACGGCAGCGCAAGUCUGGAGUGAAAUCCCAUGGCUUAACCAUGGAACUGCUUUGGAAACUGUGCAGCUGGAGUGCAGGAGAGGUAAGCGGAAUUCCUAGUGUAGCGGUGAAAUGCGUAGAUAUUAGGAGGAACACCAGUGGCGAAGGCGGCUUACUGGACUGUAACUGACGUUGAGGCUCGAAAGCGUGGGGAGCAAACAGGAUUAGAUACCCUGGUAGUCCACGCUGUAAACGAUGAUUACUAGGUGUUGGGGGACCAAGGUCCUUCGGUG
Molecule: ribosomal RNA, 685 nt
Filed under: uncultured bacterium
Lineage: Bacteria
Description: bacterial SSU rRNA
Rfam family: Bacterial small subunit ribosomal RNA
Source: RNAcentral